RNAcentral lists this transfer RNA (88 nucleotides) under Actinopolymorpha cephalotaxi. RNAcentral's name for it is "tRNA-OTHER". Lineage: Bacteria; Bacillati; Actinomycetota; Actinomycetes; Propionibacteriales; Actinopolymorphaceae. The record is from RNAcentral.
AGGGCAAAGUCGCUGGUAGAUGGCCUGGUAGGCGUUGGUAAGGGUUCUCAUAAUCCCUGGGUCGCGGGUUCGAGUCCCGCCCGCCCUA